Molecule: ribosomal RNA, 399 nt
Filed under: uncultured bacterium
Lineage: Bacteria
Description: bacterial SSU rRNA
Rfam family: Bacterial small subunit ribosomal RNA
Source: RNAcentral
GGGAAUUUUGCGCAAUGGGGGAAACCCUGACGCAGCAACGCCGCGUGGAGGAUGAAGUAUCUUGGUACGUAAACUCCUUUCGAUAGGGAAGAUAAUGACGGUACCUAUAGAAGAAGCCCCGGCUAACUUCGUGCCAGCAGCCGCGGUAAUACGAGGGGGGCAAGCGUUGUUCGGAAUUAUUGGGCGUAAAGGGUGCGUAGGCGGUUCAGCAAGUCUCGUGUGAAAUCUUCGGGCUCAACCCGAAGUCUGCACGGGAUACUACUGGGCUUGAGUGUGGGAGAGGUGAGUGGAAUUUCCGGUGUAGCGGUGAAAUGCGUAGAUAUCGGAAGGAACACCUGUGGCGAAAGCGGCUCACUGGACCAUAACUGACGCUGAUGCACGAAAGCUAGGGGAGCAAAC